RNAcentral lists this ribosomal RNA (497 nucleotides) under uncultured bacterium. RNAcentral's name for it is "partial 16S ribosomal RNA". It matches the Rfam family "Bacterial small subunit ribosomal RNA", at positions 28 to 507 of the family's 1533-position model. The record is from RNAcentral.
GAUGAACGCUGGCGGCGUGCCUAAUACAUGCAAGUCGAGCGAACAGACGAGGAGCUUGCUCCUCUGACGUUAGCGGCGGACGGGUGAGUAACACGUGGAUAACCUACCUAUAAGACUGGGAUAACUUCGGGAAACCGGAGCUAAUACCGGAUAAUAUAUUCAACCGCAUGGUUCAAUAGUGAAAGACGGUUUUGCUGUUACUUAUAGAUGGAUCCGCGCCGCAUUAGCUAGUUGGUAAGGUAACGGCUUACCAAGGCAACGAUGCGUAGCCGACCUGAGAGGGUGAUCGGCCACACUGGAACUGAGACACGGUCCAGACUCCUACGGGAGGCAGCAGUAGGGAAUCUUCCGCAAUGGGCGAAAGCCUGACGGAGCAACGCCGCGUGAGUGAUGAAGGUCUUCGGAUCGUAAAACUCUGUUAUUAGGGAAGAACAAAUGCGUAAGUAACUAUGCACGUCUUGACGGUACCUAAUCAGAAAGCCCCGGCUAACUACGUG